UAGGUUUCCCAAAGAGAAUAUCCAUAUGUACCUGUUUUAUUAUUCAGUAACAGCUUUAUUACAGAAUGAAGACUUUUCAAAUAAUAUGAUUUAAGUUAGGGGUUCCUGCUUCCUAUCUCAUUAACCUAAUAGAGACAUAGAUCCUUUUGGAA
Dermochelys coriacea (leatherback sea turtle) is the source of this 152-nucleotide long non-coding RNA. RefSeq lists it as uncharacterized. The transcript is spliced from 3 exons. Lineage: Eukaryota; Metazoa; Chordata; Testudines; Dermochelyidae. The record is from RefSeq and is a predicted model, not a curated record.